CGCCUUGCCAGCCCGCUCAGAACUUAAAGGAAUUGACGGGGGCCCGCACAAGCGGUGGAGCAUGUGGUUUAAUUCGAUGAUACGCGAGGAACCUUACCUGGUCUUGACAUCCCGGAGACCCUUAGGAAACUAGGGGGUGCUUCCAUCUGGAAGAAUCUGGAGACAGGUGCUGCAUGGCUGUCGUCAGUUCGUGUCGUGAGAUGUUGGGUUAAGUCCCGCAACGAGCGCAACCCUUGCCUUUAGUUGCCAGCAGUUCGGCUGGGCACUCUAAAGGGACUGCCGGUGUUAAACCGGAGGAAGGUGGGGAUGACGUCAAGUCCUCAUGGCCUUUAUGACCAGGGCUACACACGUACUACAAUGGCCGAUACAAAGGGCAGCGACACUGCGAGGUGAAGCCAAUCCCGUAAAAUCGGUCUCAGUCCGGAUUGGAGUCUGCAACUCGACUCCAUGAAGUUGGAAUCGCUAGUAAUCGUGGAUCAGCAUGCCACGGUGAAUACGUUCCCGGGCCUU
This 510-nucleotide ribosomal RNA is filed under the name uncultured Desulfobulbus sp. RNAcentral's name for it is "bacterial SSU rRNA". It matches the Rfam family "Bacterial small subunit ribosomal RNA", at positions 903 to 1382 of the family's 1533-position model. Lineage: Bacteria; Pseudomonadati; Thermodesulfobacteriota; Desulfobulbia; Desulfobulbales; Desulfobulbaceae. The record is from RNAcentral.